Non-coding RNA from Picea glauca (white spruce), 46 nucleotides. Lineage: Eukaryota; Viridiplantae; Streptophyta; Pinopsida; Pinales; Pinaceae. The record is from Rfam.
UCAAAGGAUUCCUUCGAAUCCACCAUGAUCAUAUUUCGAAAAUAGU